RNAcentral lists this ribosomal RNA (460 nucleotides) under uncultured bacterium. Its description in RNAcentral is "partial 16S ribosomal RNA". It matches the Rfam family "Bacterial small subunit ribosomal RNA", at positions 338 to 795 of the family's 1533-position model. The record is from RNAcentral.
CCUACGGGGGGCAGCAGUGAGGAAUAUUGGUCAAUGGGCGCGAGCCUGAACCAGCCAAGUCGCGUGCGGGAUGAAGGUUCUAUGAAUCGUAAACCUCUUUUAUAAGGGAAUAAAGUGUGGGACGUGUCCUAUUUUGUAUGUACCUUAUGAAUAAGGAUCGGCUAACUCCGUGCCAGCAGCCGCGGUAAUACGGAGGAUCCGAGCGUUAUCCGGAUUUAUUGGGUUUAAAGGGUGCGUAGGCGGCCUGUUAAGUCAGCGGUGAAAGUCUGUGGCUCAACCAUGGAAUUGCCGUUGAAACUGGGGGGCUAGAGUAUGUUUGAGGCAGGCGGAAUGCGUGGUGUAGCGGUGAAAUGCUUAGAGAUCACGCAGAACCCUGAUUGCGAAGGCAGCCUGCCAAGCCAUGACUGACGCUGAUGCACGAAAGCGUGGGGAGCAAACAGGAUUAGAUACCCUUGUAGUC